Molecule: long non-coding RNA, 42115 nt
Filed under: Physcomitrium patens
Lineage: Eukaryota; Viridiplantae; Streptophyta; Bryopsida; Funariales; Funariaceae
Description: long non-coding RNA (PPAT_LNC009808)
Source: RNAcentral
UUGUGCACGCCCUGUUAGUUUCUCCGCAAGAAUAUGUAGCUUUGCGGCACCGCCACUCUCCAGCUCCAGGACCAGGUAGUCGUGGUUAAUCAAACCCCGCAUCUGCGCAAAACACACACACACACACAUACAUGUGCAUCUGGUCCAACAAAAUUUCUGAUGACGACCAUCAGUGGUUUCUUUCUCAGGCUGAAUUUCACAAAAUUUCUGUUCAAAAAGAAAAUGAGGCCGCCGCAUAAACGAAGAAAAUUCAAUGGCGAAUACUCAACUGAAAUCAUCACCCUGAAAAUCCACUCUCAGGCUGGGGGCACGUAGCCAGCAAUUGGACUGACAGGGCUGCGGAUACCAUGUAGGUAUAACAAUGGUAUUGCAACGGCAUCCCAUUGGUAUCCCCAGGGGUAUCGCAGGGUGUCUCCAGAUAUCGGAUGCUCUAAACUACAUUCGGUGUGUCUGGUAGCUAACCUACAACCUUCCAACCGUAGGGGGGUGCCAGGCCUGUUUCUGAAAGAGAUAAAUCACUGAUGUGCAUGAUGGUUUCAACGACGGUACCGAAUCUAUGUUGAAACUAACUUGCCGGUCCAACCGUGGUCUAAACUGCUAUGGUCACGGAACUCACCUCCUUGAUUUUCUGGACCUGUGCCGCCGACACAUCGGACCCUCCGCUGGCAUCUUGUAGCCCCUGGACACUGAUUUGCGCAACUUGCUCGAGAGCCCUCUCGCAGUAGUUGAUCGUCACGAGUGUGCAGUCCGUACAGAAGGCGUUGUACUUGGUGUCUCCCAGGGUCCCAGAAAUAUGACAGUACACAUCUCCCGCGAUCGUUGUGAGAUGGGCAGAGUCGCCUGUGUGCUGCUUUGCCAGUUCCAACGCUGUGUUCACGAUACUCCUCCGAGACCUGUAGGAGGCUUUGGAUGAGUCCCCCAAACCAGUCCUUGCGAGCUUUCUGCUGGACUCCGACGAAGACAUGACUUAGGAUUAACGGGGCAAGCGCUGGAUUGCACUGCGAGAAUCACGAUAUGUCUGGAGAAACUUGGGUCAAACCUGUGUCGUCCUGAGCAUCGAGGUGCAGCUUUAUGGUCACCGUUGUCUGUACAAUCAUGUCAUUGUGGCUCUGACAGGCGGAGGCUGGUACAGCUUACCACAUUCACUAUCGUAGUCAGCACGUAACCUUUUUCCUCUUAAAAUUAUUUCCUUGAAAUUUGUACAGCGAGGCAAGACAUGCUGAGUGUUGCUCCAAUAUGCCCCCUACUGUGUCAUUCAAUUUUUUUUUUUUAAAUAUAAAUAAUGAUAGAUAUAAAUCUUUGUGAAGUACAGAAGACCGCAGUGGUCUCUAAAUCGUAGGGAAACAUGUAAAAAUAGUCUAGCCGACGAGGAUGACUCGUGCAUUGUGAGAGGGUGUCCAUUCUGCUUUCCAACUCGUCUGCAGAGCCGUGAUGCCCGCUGUUCUGACAGUCGGCUCGGGUGGCACUAAAUUUCGACCGCUUCGGUUCUCAAAUCUGGGUGCAAUAAGUUCAGCACCUAAUAUAUCUUAUUGUCGAUAAUAUAUCAUAAUAACCAUUAUGGUGCAUGUCGGUAGCUUGGCAUAAUGGCUACUUUAGGGCGUAGGAAUCGAUUGCAGAGCGUUAGGUCUUACCUCGUCAGCAACUUGAUUUCGGGCCUUCGACAAGUUUAUACUGCCACUUGAUAUACCGCCUGCGAUUUCGGAGUAUGGUACUGUUUGAAUUGAAAGCCAUGACUUGCACUUGAAGUCGUUGCGUAAUGCAUUUGCUGUUUUUGAUUCCAGACUUGGGGAGGGAUCGCUUUAAAUGAUUUCAUUUGCCAUUUUUGUUUGGUGAGGUUGUGAAGCUGCGUAUCCUGUUCGGAUUUUCUGCUGGCUUAGCGACCUGAUAGGGAAAUCUAUGCCUCGAGAGUUGGAAGUUACAUAUUGCAAGUGUGUGAAAUCGAAGCUCACAUACCGUAUGGUAAGUGAGCAGUUUGUCUGUACAUGUUUGCACUCGUAAGAUGUUCAAGUGACAACAGGCUUAGGUUGACAGCAGCCAGAUAGCAGCACUUCAGUGUGACACAGACUCUAAUCGUGACAUCCCUCAUGUCGUGAUCGGAAGUCCCGGUUCCUGAUACUCAGUCCAUGAUCAGAUGCCAGCUGAUUUAUCAAGAGGCACCAUCAGAAGAGAAUUCACUGCACAGAAGGAAGAAAACGACGAGCUACAGUUUUCCUGUUUUCAAUCAUUAGUCUUUGUGAUUCUUAAUUUUUAUUAUUGUUAUUAUUUUUUUAACGGCUAAAUCUCACAAAACUUCUCCCAUAAAAAAUGACUGCUUCAUGCAUGAAGGAAAACCGGUGCUUGCCCUUAUCCUGUCGUCAUGAUACAUGGCUGGCUCUCGUCCACACCGAAUGUUCACUUGAAAAGUAAACUUAGUUUUAUGAAAGUCAAGUAAAUGAGACUCAUGAAUGACCAAUUUAUGAGAUGAAUCAACUUCUAGUUGUUUGGACAUUUUUACUAUGCAUUGAUCCCUUUCAUAGAUGGCACAUGUAAGUUUCAAUUCAAAACAUUAGAUACUGUAAAUGUAAACUGAUUAUUUUCAAAUAAUAUUAAUAAAAAAAUAAUCUCCACAUUUGAUAUGACUUUCAACUUCAUUGUACUUCAUUUUACCAUGUGCUAGUGAUGAGCCAUGACAUUUCACACUUAUCCAAGUCAGCUAUUUAGAAGAAAGUGGUGUACUAGUAUUAGUGAUAUAUUUAAAGAAUGGAUCUCUUUUAUUAAAGACUCUUCACUAGUUACCUAGAUUCCACAAAUUGAUGAUGUUGCCUUGAUUGCCCCAACCUCUAUUCUAACUUCUUCACAUUUUACACUAUAAGUAAUUUUUUUUUCACUUUUUAACAUGUAUAAAAAUAUUGUUUUGAUUCAUCACCAUACACAAUGUGGUUCUACAAUAAUGCUUUGCACUUAUGCAUUGUGCAACCACGAGCUAAUACAAAUCACACAUUGUGUCCGGAAGGAUUAUUGUAUAUAUCUAUUCAUUUCAAUGAAAGUAUUGUACUAUGUGAACUAAAAUAAACCUCUACUAGUUGGAAGUUUAGUCUAAUUUACUACAAUUUUGAUUGUUUAAAUAUUCUAACAAUGCCCAACUAGCAUUUGUUUAAUGUCCAAGUGUCCUAUAUCAUCCCAAUUGUGAGCAAAAAUAAAUCUCUAAUAGAUGAUUUAUGCAACUUACAACUACUAAUUUAUUUAUAAAUUAAUCACCUAAAUGCUUCCAAUUACUCCAUACUUAGUCCUUUAAAUUAUUAAUUAAAAGGUACACUCUCACAUUUACAACACUAAAAUACCAACUACUCAAAUAAUUCAAAAGAUCACAUACUUAAAUAAGGGAUUCAAAAGCUAUAGUUAAUUGGAGAAGAAUCAAGCCUCACAUCAUCUUUGGUCUAUGAAAAAAUAAAACCAAAAUCUUCAUAUGACCUAUAUUUGAUUACAGAAAGAAUAAUUCCCUUGACUCUAUAAAAGAUAUCCAACCUUUGAAAGUCUAAGGCAAGUUAACAAAGAUCAUUCAUUUGACUAAAAUUUUAAAAUAAAAUAAAAUAAAAUAAAAAAUACUUAGAUUCCAAUCCUUAUCAUUAGAAAGAUGACAAGGAGUUUACAUAAUGGCUAAAUAAUCAUCUAGACUCUAAUUGUAAUUAUUUCAAAUUAGUUAAUUUUAUAGAAGGAAUGUUAGAGAUUGUGGAAGUUAAAGAAAUCCAAGUCUUUAGCAUUAAUAUGGAUAGAAAAUUAGAAGAAAAAUUAAAGUCCUUAGAAGAGAUGAUGACUUAGUUCCACCUCUUAGAUUUCUAAACACUUUAUUGAAAAUUUUAAUUGGCAAUAAAGUUGUCAACUAUCUUCCUAUAUCUAGUGAUUGAUAUAUAAAUUCUUUAAAAUAAUCUCCACUAUGAUAAUUGAAAUAGAAACUCAUAGAUAUAUUUCAUAUAGGAAAAGAUUUCAAAAACAUUAAAAUUAGAGUUUAUUUAAAUCAAGAAGAAGUGUCUAAAUAUCAUGAUUUGAUCAUAAAAUAUUGAAAUAUUUUAGCAUGGUCAUAUAAGGAUUUGAAGGAUAUAUCAAGUAAAGUGGCUCAAUACCGUAAUUUUUUAUACUUAAUGUCAAGGAAGUUAGACAAAAAGAAAGUUGUAUGAACUUUGAAUUCCAAUUGAUUGUUGAGAAAGAGUUAAAAAAAUGUUACAAGCUGGAUUUAUUAAAUCAGUAGAAAUAACAAAUUGGGUCUCUCUUAAUUAAAUUUCAUCUACAAUUGGUUAUCGGAUCAAGAAUUCAUCUCCAUGACCUAACUUCAUCCCUACAGUUGUUCAUACUAUCAAGAUGUUCGUCUCCCUUCGAGGUUGUUUAUCAAUUUCAAAAUUACUCACUUCGUAACAUAUGAUCGUUCUCUACCCAACUUGUUCUGAAAAAAAUUCUCACGGAAAUGACGUUGGUGGAACGAGCCUUGACCGCUGUUGGAGAGUUGCUUCAGUUGUCUGUGGUGUAUGCUCCAACUGCCUGACUUCCUCGUACGAGAAAACUUCCCGAGUACACAGGGUAGCAGUUGUAUAGCUACCAAUAAAGUAGGCGGGGCUGGGAAGAGUUACUCCAAGCACGGAUUUGGCGAUGAACUAGCAGUAUUGUGGCCGCUUUAGGAAUGGAACACCGCUCACAAGCCAUCGCCUUCUCAACAAAUCAAUGACUUCUACAUACUAAUGACUCUAACUCUAACUCUAUCCUACAUAUGCACGUGCAAUCGUGCUUAGUAUUGCCAACUGAGAGAUCCACACAUCUGCAACCAGUACGGACAUCAACCAGACAUGGCGAUGGGCUAAGGCAGUCUCAAAAAAAAUCCGCUCUACCUCGACAAGUUGGAGAAACGCUUCGGUGAGUGCGGAUUGAACAAGGUAGGAUUUUAGGUGCCCACAGAGCUUUUGAACUCAUCAACGUCGAUGCGGGACCAAUGCCAAUGCAGUCGCUCUGAAGAUGUUGCACACAUCGUCAAGAUCAAGAACCAUCUCAAGUACUUCAAUGCAGCAGCGAUAACUUCUUGCUCCACAUGAUCAAUAGAGUUCCAUCGCUCCAAAAUCUAGACCUGAAGCAAGAGCCUCUACGCUCUUUGCACGCCACUUUCGAAGCCUUAUAGCAACCUUGCUCCGCAGGCAAACCUUCAACCGCGACCUGAGGACUCUGUCGAAGACGAGAAGGGAACAAAACGGUCCAGCCACAGAAGCCGAACACACAGACCUCCGCCACUUUGUCGUUCACCAAAAAAACACAAAAAACAAAAAAAAAAAAAAAAAAAAAAAACAGCAACAAAGAUGGUCAGCACUGCUAGACCGCAAUCAACAAAGCAGAGGAAGAAACCCUCCAUCAAGACCGUUUAGAUGUUCCAUGCCGCAUGUUGUUGCUGCUACAUGCAAAAGCACUCUUUUUCCAGUCACGAUCGCCUCCAGUUACAACCGCCGCACAAUUUAGACCAACCGCAAUGCUCCCUCCGAGGAUGUACAAUGCUCAAAUCGCAACCCAGCAAAGAUCUAGGCACCAGACCACCAUCGCACCGUAGCAAGAACUCGCUUCCCGCAAGAAAGCGAUGCAUCGCAAGGGAAACACCUCCAAUGCACAGCCGCUAGAUGCUGAACUUUUGAGAGGUAGCCAAAAAGACCCCCCAGUCCACUGCACCGCACCGGGGAGGGGGUUCACGUUGGGUUGCAACGCCUUGAACUUCAGCUGCUGCAGACACACGCCGUCGGAAAAGGAAGCAGUAAGAACUAGCAGGAGACACUGUCACUGGCAACCAAACCCCAACCGCCGAAUGCCGAGUUCCACUUGAAAGGAAGAUAGGAGAGAGAGUAAGGAAGAAAUUUGUUGGGGGAUGAGCAAGAACGUAAUCUAUAAAUGAAGCAGUAAUAGAGUUGGAUUAAACCAUGGUUGCAUGCUUGUUGAUAUAUCCGAGCAUACCAAGAACCUCAUAGACAUUUAAUAUUUCAGUCGUAUAUAUCAUUAAAAAAAAUACCAAGAGCACUCAUGGAAAAUUCUAUCAACAGUCUAGCAUAUCUCUUGAGCCCAUUAACUGAAAGUGAAGGAAGCACAGAGGGAUUGGGUAUUCCAUUGGGUACUUUUCAAACAGCAAGUACAAUCAAUUCUAGUAAGAUUGGUUCCUUAGAAGAGCAUAAAUUUCUUACCAAUAAAGACCAAUUUAGCAUGUUUCAAAUUCUAUCAUUUUUACCUUCAAUUCAACUAAUAAAAUUAUUUGUAGAUAAUAAUAGUAAAUUGAGGAGGCAAAAAAGUCCAAAAAAGAUAAUUGAAGAAGGUUGUAUUUAUUUUAAUAAGUAAUUAAGUGGAACAUUGUCAUCUUCAAUGGCGACGAGGGACUCAACAAUUUCAAUUGAAGUUCAAAUGGGUGCAAAGGGCAAUCGUACAACUAGUGUAGCUGCAUUAUCUACUUUUAGAGGUUUACCAAGUUCAAAUCUAUAUCAACAUUUGUCUCAAUUCUUGAUUGCAUGUGUAGCCAAUAAUGGUAGAAUUAAAGAUAUUUGGUUGAAGUGGCCGCCAGUGACUUUGAAAGAUACAACAUUUGAAUGGUAUAAUUGCAAACCUAUGGGCUAGUUUCCUAAUUGGAAGGCAUUGAAAUAUAUGUUUUUAAUCCAUUUUUGAUUAAUUGGAUUUGAAGAAUGUCUUUGAGAAAGGUUAAUGAAUAGUAGAAUGGUACUAAGAGAAGUGGUGCAAUCAUAUUAUGGACGAGUCGUAAAUAUCUGUCACGGACAUAAUCAUAUAAGCUAGUAAUUAUAUAUACAAAAAGGUAGAAGUAAGUAAAAGUAGGUAAAAAUAAAUUAAUUCUAUAGUAUUUAAUAUGGAAGCUUCUUAGAAGCUUCAUAGAUGCUACUUUAACUUCAUAGGUGUCUAUAAUUGACUUUUUGGAUUAGAAACGUGGUCAACAACUUGGCCAUGUGCCACACAUGUUGUUAGCUUGAAGAUCAAGCUAACUAUGUGGCCCACACGUAGAAAAACUUGCCUUGUAAGUCAAGGCAUGUAUUCUACAAAGUCAAUACAUAUUGGAGGUCCUAUAGAACGUCGCCACGUAGCCCCUAGUUAGAUAGUAUAUGUAGAGACAAGAGUGAAGGCUUCUUCACUCUUGUCAACUCCUUUCUUGCUUCCAGUCUAGUUUCAAGGGUCUCUACUUUUUUCGUCUUUUGGCAAUAGCCAUUCCAAUUUCUCUUUCAAUAUACAUACUUGUUUAUUUAUAUUUUGUUACCUUUCUUUGAGUGAAGGCUCACUUGUUUGAAUCCUUUUUUCAUCGAGUUCUUGUCCUUGACAAUAUCUUUUGUAAAUGGCUAAAUAAUCAAGUGGCAAAAUUUUUUGUUUUGUCUAAAUUGAUAAAUGAACUAUAUCCACCAGAAUUGAAGAUGUUUGUAAAAGAGGGCCAACCGGCCAUUGUUGCUUCUUCACUUGAUUUAGCUAAGGUAUAAAAAGAAUAUCAUUAUGACCAAUUCCUUACUACAAGAGCAAUGAUGAUUCAAUCUCAGGGAGAUUAUCAAAUGCCAACUAAGAAUGAAGUAAUAGACAGUUAUCUAAGAAUGAUUGAUUAUGGUGCCAAUGUCAAGGACAAGAACUUGAUGAAAAAACAAUUCAGACAAGUGAGCCUUCACUCAAAGAAAGAUAACAAAAUAUAUAUAAACAAGUAUAUAUAUUGAAAGAAAAACUGGAAUGGCUAUUGCCAAAAGACAAGAAAACUAGAGACCCUUGAAACUAGACUAGAAGUAAGAAAGGAGUUGACAAGAGUGAAGAAGCCUUCACUCUUGUCUCUAUAUAUACUAUCUAACUAGGGGCUAUGUGGCAAGGUUCUAUAGGACCUCCAAUAUGUGUUGACUUUGUAGGGCACAUGCCUUGACUUACGAGGCAAGUUUUUCUACGUGUGGGCCACAUAGUUAGCUUGAUCUUCAAGCUAACAACAUGUAUGGCACAUGGCCAACUUAUUGACCACGUUUUUAAUCCAAAAAGUCAAUUAAAAACACCUAUGAAGUCAAAGCAGCGUCUAGGAAAUUUCUAAGAAGCUUCUAUAUUAAAUAUUAUAGAAUUAACUUACUUUUACCUACUUUUACUUACUUCUACCUAUUUCUAUAUGUAAUUAUUAGCUUACAUCAUUAUGGCCGUGACAUUCACCCCCUUUUAGGGACGAGUUCCACGAGGAGCGGUCAUCAUAUGUUGAGAAAAUCUAUAAUGUGACGAAUUGUUUUUGCCACAUACUCUGAUCUCUGAUUUCUUCGAAGAUGAUUGAUAGGGCCUCUCAACGAUCGGUAGUGUCGUAUACGAGGGCGAAAAGACCACCUAGUUAUUUGGACAUUGUUGAGGCCUUCGUAACUUCCUUCGAAUAGAAUAUUUGAAACACCAUCAGAAGUUGUUCCUACCUCUAGCAAAAUCACCAAACAUCGGGAGUCCCUUCCUAAAUCAUCAUACCAAACGCGUUGUAUCUCACCAUCUAUUCGAGGAAGAACAUGUCGUUCUUGAAGAUCUUCAUCUUGAUUGCGUCGUCUUGAAGGUUGUGACAAUCGUAAUGUCCCGUUCGGCGGAUCAGCAAACAAAGGCUCUUGAGUUAAAUCGGUUGGUUGUUGGUUCUCCAUCUCUUGAGCGCCACUACUACAACGAAGCUACGAACAAGAAUUGAAAGUAGAAUGUUAUCUUGCCUACAUGUUGUUUCUUUUAUAAAGAAGGUUUUCAUCUUGAUUUUGAUGGAUGUUGUCGAUGACUUGAUUAUGGUGCCAAUGUCAAGGAAAAGAACUUGAUAAAAAAACAAUUCAAACAAGUGAGCCUUCACUCAAAGAAAGAUAACAAAAUAUAUAUAAACAAGUAUAUAUAUUGAAAGAAAAACUGGAAUGGCUAUUGCCAAAAGACAAGAAAACUAGAGACCCUUGAAACUAGACUAGAAGUAAGAAAGGAGUUGACAAGAGUGAAGAAGCCUUCACUCUUGUCUCUAUAUAUACUAUCUAACUAGGGGCUAUGUGGCAAGGUUCUAUAGGACCUCCAAUAUGUGUUGACUUUGUAGGGCACAUGCCUUGACUUACGAGGCAAGUUUUUCUACGUGUGGGCCACAUAGUUAGCUUGAUCUUCAAGCUAACAACAUGUAUGGCACAUGGCCAACUUAUUGACCACGUUUUUAAUCCAAAAAGUCAAUUAAAGACACCUAUGAAGUCAAAGCAGCGUCUAGGAAAUUUCUAAGAAGCUUCUAUAUUAAAUAUUAUAGAAUUAACUUACUUUUACCUACUUUUACUUACUUCUACCUAUUUCUAUAUGUAAUUAUUAGCUUACAUCAUUAUGGCCGUGACAUUCACCCCCUUUUAGGGACGAGUUCCACGAGGAGCGGUCAUCAUAUGUUGAGAAAAUCUAUAAUGCGACGAAUUGUUUUUGCCACAUACUCUGAUCUCUGAUUUCUUCGAAGAUGAUUGAUAGGGCCUCUCAACGAUCGGUAGUGUCGUAUACGAGGGCGAAAAGACCACCUAGUUAUUUGGACAUUGUUGAGGCCUUCGUAACUUCCUUCGAAUAGAAUAUUUGAAACACCAUCAGAAGUUGUUCCUACCUCUAGCAAAAUCACCAAACAUCGGGAGUCCCUUCCUAAAUCGUGAUACCAAACGCGUUGUAUCUCACCAUCUAUUCGAGGAAGAACAUGUCGUUCUUGAAGAUCUUCAUCUUGAUUGCGUCGUCUUGAAGGUUGUGACACUCGAAAUGUCCCGUUUGGUGGGUCAGCAAACAAAGGUUCUUGAGUUAAAUCGGUUGGUUGUUGGUUCUCCAUCUCCUGAGCGCCACUACUACAACGAAGCUACGAACAAGAAUUGAAAGUAGAAUGUUAUCUUGCCUACAUGUUGUUUCUUUUAUAAAGAAGGUUUUCAUCUUGAUUUUGAUGGAUGUUGUCGAUGACUUGAUUAUGGUGCCAAUGUCAAGGAAAAGAACUUGAUAAAAAAACAAUUCAAACAAGUGAGCCUUCACUCAAAGAAAGAUAACAAAAUAUAUAUAAACAAGUAUAUAUAUUGAAAGAAAAACUGGAAUGGCUAUUGCCAAAAGACAAGAAAACUAGAGACCCUUGAAACUAGACUAGAAGUAAGAAAGGAGUUGACAAGAGUGAAGAAGCCUUCACUCUUGUCUCUAUAUAUACUAUCUAACUAGGGGCUAUGUGGCAAGGUUCUAUAGGACCUCCAAUAUGUGUUGACUUUGUAGGGCACAUGCCUUGUCUUACGAGGCAAGUUUUUCUACGUGUGGGCCACAUAGUUAGCUUGAUCUUCAAGCUAACAACAUGUAUGGCACAUGGCCAACUUAUUGACCACGUUUUUAAUCCAAAAAGUCAAUUUAAAACACCUAUGAAGUCAAAGCAGCGUCUAGGAAAUUUCUAAGAAGCUUCUAUAUUAAAUAUUAUAGAAUUAACUUACUUUUACCUACUUUUACUUACUUCUACCUAUUUCUAUAUGUAAUUAUUAGCUUACAUCAUUAUGGCCGUGAUAUUCACCCCCUUUUAGGGACGAGUUCCACGAGGAGCGGUCAUCAUAUGUUGAGAAAAUCUAUAAUGCGACGAAUUGUUUUUGCCACAUACUCUGAUCUCUGAUUUCUUCGAAGAUGAUUGAUAGGGCCUCUCAACGAUCGGUAGUGUCGUAUACGAGGGCGAAAAGACCACCUAGUUAUUUGGACAUUGUUGAGGCCUUCGUAACUUCCUUCGAAUAGAAUAUUUGAAACACCAUCAGAAGUUGUUCCUACCUCUAGCAAAAUCACCAAACAUCGGGAGUCCCUUCCUAAAUCGUGAUACCAAACGCGUUGUAUCUCACCAUCUAUUCGAGGAAGAACAUGUCGUUCUUGAAGAUCUUCAUCUUGAUUGCGUCGUGUUGAAGGUUGUGACAAUCGUAAUGUCCCGUUCGGCGGAUCAGCAAACAAAGGCUCUUGAGUUAAAUCGGUUGGUUGUUGGUUCUCCAUCUCCUGAGCGCCACUACUACAACGAAGCUACGAACAAGAAUUGAAAGUAGAAUGUUAUCUUGCCUACAUGUUGUUUCUUUUAUAAAGAAGGUUUUCAUCUUGAUUUUGAUGGAUGUUGUCGAUGACUUGAUUAUGGUGCCAAUGUCAAGGAAAAGAACUUGAUAAAAAAACAAUUCAAACAAGUGAGCCUUCACUCAAAGAAAGAUAACAAAAUAUAUAUAAACAAGUAUAUAUAUUGAAAGAAAAACUGGAAUGGCUAUUGCCAAAAGACAAGAAAACUAGAGACCCUUGAAACUAGACUAGAAGUAAGAAAGGAGUUGACAAGAGUGAAGAAGCCUUCACUCUUGUCUCUAUAUAUACUAUCUAACUAGGGGCUAUGUGGCAAGGUUCUAUAGGACCUCCAAUAUGUGUUGACUUUGUAGGGCACAUGCCUUGACUUACGAGGCAAGUUUUUCUACGUGUGGGCCACAUAGUUAGCUUGAUCUUCAAGCUAACAACAUGUAUGGCACAUGGCCAACUUAUUGACCACGUUUUUAAUCCAAAAAGUCAAUUAAAAACACCUAUGAAGUCAAAGCAGCGUCUAGGAAAUUUCUAAGAAGCUUCUAUAUUAAAUAUUAUAGAAUUAACUUACUUUUACCUACUUUUACUUACUUCUACCUAUUUCUAUAUGUAAUUAUUAGCUUACAUCAUUAUGGCCGUGACAUUCACCCCCUUUUAGGGACGAGUUCCACGAGGAGCGGUCAUCAUAUGUUGAGAAAAUCUAUAAUGCGACGAAUUGUUUUUGCCACAUACUCUGAUCUCUGAUCUCUUCGAAGAUGAUUGAUAGGGCCUCUCAACGAUCGGUAGUGUCGUAUACGAGGGCGAAAAGACCACCUAGUUAUUUGGACAUUGUUGAGGCCUUCGUAACUUCCUUCGAAUAGAAUAUUUGAAACACCAUCAGAAGUUGUUCCUACCUCUAGCAAAAUCACCAAACAUCGGGAGUCCCUUCCUAAAUCGUGAUACCAAACGCGUUGUAUCUCACCAUCUAUUCGAGGAAGAACAUGUCGUUCUUGAAGAUCUUCAUCUUGAUUGCGUCGUCUUGAAGGUUGUGACAAUCGUAAUGUCCCGUUCGGCGGAUCAGCAAACAAAGGCUCUUGAGUUAAAUCGGUUGGUUGUUGGUUCUCCAUCUCCUGAGCGCCACUACUACAACGAAGCUACGAACAAGAAUUGAAAGUAGAAUGUUAUCUUGCCUACAUGUUGUUUCUUUUAUAAAGAAGGUUUUCAUCUUGAUUUUGAUGGAUGUUGUCGAUGACUUGAUUAUGGUGCCAAUGUCAAGGAAAAGAACUUGAUAAAAAAACAAUUCAAACAAGUGAGCCUUCACUCAAAGAAAGAUAACAAAAUAUAUAUAAACAAGUAUAUAUAUUGAAAGAAAAACUGGAAUGGCUAUUGCCAAAAGACAAGAAAACUAGAGACCCUUGAAACUAGACUAGAAGUAAGAAAGGAGUUGACAAGAGUGAAGAAGCCUUCACUCUUGUCUCUAUAUAUACUAUCUAACUAGGGGCUAUGUGGCAAGGUUCUAUAGGACCUCCAAUAUGUGUUGACUUUGUAGGGCACAUGCCUUGUCUUACGAGGCAAGUUUUUCUACGUGUGGGCCACAUAGUUAGCUUGAUCUUCAAGCUAACAACAUGUAUGGCACAUGGCCAACUUAUUGACCACGUUUUUAAUCCAAAAAGUCAAUUUAAAACACCUAUGAAGUCAAAGCAGCGUCUAGGAAAUUUCUAAGAAGCUUCUAUAUUAAAUAUUAUAGAAUUAACUUACUUUUACCUACUUUUACUUACUUCUACCUAUUUCUAUAUGUAAUUAUUAGCUUACAUCAUUAUGGCCGUGAUAUUCACCCCCUUUUAGGGACGAGUUCCACGAGGAGCGGUCAUCAUAUGUUGAGAAAAUCUAUAAUGCGACGAAUUGUUUUUGCCACAUACUCUGAUCUCUGAUUUCUUCGAAGAUGAUUGAUAGGGCCUCUCAACGAUCGGUAGUGUCGUAUACGAGGGCGAAAAGACCACCUAGUUAUUUGGACAUUGUUGAGGCCUUCGUAACUUCCUUCGAAUAGAAUAUUUGAAACACCAUCAGAAGUUGUUCCUACCUCUAGCAAAAUCACCAAACAUCGGGAGUCCCUUCCUAAAUCGUGAUACCAAAUGCGUUGUAUCUCACCAUCUAUUUGAGGAAGAACAUGUCGUUCUUGAAGAUCUUCAUCUUGAUUGCGUCGUCUUGAAGGUUGUGACACUCGUAAUGUCCCGUUUGGUGGGUCAGCAAACAAAGGCUCUUGAGUUAAAUCGGUUGGUUGUUGGUUCUCCAUCUCCUGAGCGCCACUACUACAACGAAGCUACGAACAAGAAUUGAAAGUAGAAUGUUAUCUUGCCUACAUGUUGUUUCUUUUAUAAAGAAGGUUUUCAUCUUGAUUUUGAUGGAUGUUGUCGAUGACUUGAUUAUGGUGCCAAUGUCAAGGAAAAGAACUUGAUAAAAAAACAAUUCAAACAAGUGAGCCUUCACUCAAAGAAAGAUAACAAAAUAUAUAUAAACAAGUAUAUAUAUUGAAAGAAAAACUGGAAUGGCUAUUGCCAAAAGACAAGAAAACUAGAGACCCUUGAAACUAGACUAGAAGUAAGAAAGGAGUUGACAAGAGUGAAGAAGCCUUCACUCUUGUCUCUAUAUAUACUAUCUAACUAGGGGCUAUGUGGCAAGGUUCUAUAGGACCUCCAAUAUGUGUUGACUUUGUAGGGCACAUGCCUUGACUUACGAGGCAAGUUUUUCUACGUGUGGGCCACAUAGUUAGCUUGAUCUUCAAGCUAACAACAUGUAUGGCACAUGGCCAACUUAUUGACCACGUUUUUAAUCCAAAAAGUCAAUUAAAAACACCUAUGAAGUCAAAGCAGCGUCUAGGAAAUUUCUAAGAAGCUUCUAUAUUAAAUAUUAUAGAAUUAACUUACUUUUACCUACUUUUACUUACUUCUACCUAUUUCUAUAUGUAAUUAUUAGCUUACAUCAUUAUGGCCGUGACAUUCCCCCCCCUUUUAGGGACGAGUUCCACGAGGAGCGGUCAUCAUAUGUUGAGAAAAUCUAUAAUGCGACGAAUUGUUUUUGCCACAUACUCUGAUCUCUGAUUUCUUCGAAGAUGAUUGAUAGGGCCUCUCAACGAUCGGUAGUGUCGUAUACGAGGGCGAAAAGACCACCUAGUUAUUUGGACAUUGUUGAGGCCUUCGUAACUUCCUUCGAAUAGAAUAUUUGAAACACCAUCAGAAGUUGUUCCUACCUCUAGCAAAAUCACCAAACAUCGGGAGUCCCUUCCUAAAUCGUGAUACCAAAUGCGUUGUAUCUCACCAUCUAUUUGAGGAAGAACAUGUCGUUCUUGAAGAUCUUCAUCUUGAUUGCGUCGUCUUGAAGGUUGUGACACUCGUAAUGUCCCGUUUGGUGGGUCAGCAAACAAAGGCUCUUGAGUUAAAUCGGUUGGUUGUUGGUUCUCCAUCUCCUGAGCGCCACUACUACAACGAAGCUACGAACAAGAAUUGAAAGUAGAAUGUUAUCUUGCCUACAUGUUGUUUCUUUUAUAAAGAAGGUUUUCAUCUUGAUUUUGAUGGAUGUUGUCGAUGACUUGAUUAUGGUGCCAAUGUCAAGGAAAAGAACUUGAUAAAAAAACAAUUCAAACAAGUGAGCCUUCACUCAAAGAAAGAUAACAAAAUAUAUAUAAACAAGUAUAUAUAUUGAAAGAAAAACUGGAAUGGCUAUUGCCAAAAGACAAGAAAACUAGAGACCCUUGAAACUAGACUAGAAGUAAGAAAGGAGUUGACAAGAGUGAAGAAGCCUUCACUCUUGUCUCUAUAUAUACUAUCUAACUAGGGGCUAUGUGGCAAGGUUCUAUAGGACCUCCAAUAUGUGUUGACUUUGUAGGACACAUGCCUUGACUUACGAGGCAAGUUUUUCUACGUGUGGGCCACAUAGUUAGCUUGAUCUUCAAGCUAACAACAUGUAUGGCACAUGGCCAACUUAUUGACCACGUUUUUAAUCCAAAAAGUCAAUUAAAAACACCUAUGAAGUCAAAGCAGCGUCUAGGAAAUUUCUAAGAAGCUUCUAUAUUAAAUAUUAUAGAAUUAACUUACUUUUACCUACUUUUACUUACUUCUACCUAUUUCUAUAUGUAAUUAUUAGCUUACAUCAUUAUGGCCGUGACAUUCACCCCCUUUUAGGGACGAGUUCCACGAGGAGCGGUCAUCAUAUGUUGAGAAAAUCUAUAAUGUGACGAAUUGUUUUUGCCACAUACUCUGAUCUCUGAUUUCUUCGAAGAUGAUUGAUAGGGCCUCUCAACGAUCGGUAGUGUCGUAUACGAGGGCGAAAAGACCACCUAGUUAUUUGGACAUUGUUGAGGCCUUCGUAACUUCCUUCGAAUAGAAUAUUUGAAACACCAUCAGAAGUUGUUCCUACCUCUAGCAAAAUCACCAAACAUCGGGAGUCCCUUCCUAAAUCGUGAUACCAAAUGCGUUGUAUCUCACCAUCUAUUUGAGGAAGAACAUGUCGUUCUUGAAGAUCUUCAUCUUGAUUGCGUCGUCUUGAAGGUUGUGACACUCGUAAUGUCCCGUUCGGUGGGUCAGCAAACAAAGGCUCUUGAGUUAAAUCGGUUGGUUGUUGGUUCUCCAUCUCCUGAGCGCCACUACUACAACGAAGCUACGAACAAGAAUUGAAAGUAGAAUGUUAUCUUGCCUACAUGUUGUUUCUUUUAUAAAGAAGGUUUUCAUCUUGAUUUUGAUGGAUGUUGUCGAUGACUUGAUUAUGGUGCCAAUGUCAAGGAAAAGAACUUGAUAAAAAAACAAUUCAAACAAGUGAGCCUUCACUCAAAGAAAGAUAACAAAAUAUAUAUAAACAAGUAUAUAUAUUGAAAGAAAAACUGGAAUGGCUAUUGCCAAAAGACAAGAAAACUAGAGACCCUUGAAACUAGACUAGAAGUAAGAAAGGAGUUGACAAGAGUGAAGAAGCCUUCACUCUUGUCUCUAUAUAUACUAUCUAACUAGGGGCUAUGUGGCAAGGUUCUAUAGGACCUCCAAUAUGUGUUGACUUUGUAGGGCACAUGCCUUGACUUACGAGGCAAGUUUUUCUACGUGUGGGCCACAUAGUUAGCUUGAUCUUCAAGCUAACAACAUUUAUGGCACAUGGCCAACUUAUUGACCACGUUUUUAAUCCAAAAAGUCAAUUAAAGACACCUAUGAAGUCAAAGCAGCGUCUAGGAAAUUUCUAAGAAGCUUCUAUAUUAAAUAUUAUAGAAUUAACUUACUUUUACCUACUUUUACUUACUUCUACCUAUUUCUAUAUGUAAUUAUUAGCUUACAUCAUUAUGGCCGUGACAUUCCCCCCCCUUUUAGGGACGAGUUCCACGAGGAGCGGUCAUCAUAUGUUGAGAAAAUCUAUAAUGCGACGAAUUGUUUUUGCCACAUACUCUGAUCUCUGAUUUCUUCGAAGAUGAUUGAUAGGGCCUCUCAACGAUCGGUAGUGUCGUAUACGAGGGCGAAAAGACCACCUAGUUAUUUGGACAUUGUUGAGGCCUUCGUAACUUCCUUCGAAUAGAAUAUUUGAAACACCAUCAGAAGUUGUUCCUACCUCUAGCAAAAUCACCAAACAUCGGGAGUCCCUUCCUAAAUCGUGAUACCAAACGCGUUGUAUCUCACCAUCUAUUUGAGGAAGAACAUGUCGUUCUUGAAGAUCUUCAUCUUGAUUGCGUCGUCUUGAAGGUUGUGACACUCGUAAUGUCCCGUUCGGCGGGUCAGCAAACAAAGGCUCUUGAGUUAAAUCGGUUGGUUGUUGGUUCUCCAUCUCCUGAGCGCCACUACUACAACGAAGCUACGAACAAGAAUUGAAAGUAGAAUGUUAUCUUGCCUACAUGUUGUUUCUUUUAUAAAGAAGGUUUUCAUCUUGAUUUUGAUGGAUGUUGUCGAUGACUUGAUUAUGGUGCCAAUGUCAAGGAAAAGAACUUGAUAAAAAAACAAUUCAAACAAGUGAGCCUUCACUCAAAGAAAGAUAACAAAAUAUAUAUAAACAAGUAUAUAUAUUGAAAGAAAAACUGGAAUGGCUAUUGCCAAAAGACAAGAAAACUAGAGACCCUUGAAACUAGACUAGAAGUAAGAAAGGAGUUGACAAGAGUGAAGAAGCCUUCACUCUUGUCUCUAUAUAUACUAUCUAACUAGGGGCUAUGUGGCAAGGUUCUAUAGGACCUCCAAUAUGUGUUGACUUUGUAGGGCACAUGCCUUGACUUACGAGGCAAGUUUUUCUACGUGUGGGCCACAUAGUUAGCUUGAUCUUCAAGCUAACAACAUGUAUGGCACAUGGCCAACUUAUUGACCACGUUUUUAAUCCAAAAAGUCAAUUAAAGACACCUAUGAAGUCAAAGCAGCGUCUAGGAAAUUUCUAAGAAGCUUCUAUAUUAAAUAUUAUAGAAUUAACUUACUUUUACCUACUUUUACUUACUUCUACCUAUUUCUAUAUGUAAUUAUUAGCUUACAUCAUUAUGGCCGUGACAUUCCCCCCCCUUUUAGGGACGAGUUCCACGAGGAGCGGUCAUCAUAUGUUGAGAAAAUCUAUAAUGCGACGAAUUGUUUUUGCCACAUACUCUGAUCUCUGAUUUCUUCGAAGAUGAUUGAUAGGGCCUCUCAACGAUCGGUAGUGUCGUAUACGAGGGCGAAAAGACCACCUAGUUAUUUGGACAUUGUUGAGGCCUUCGUAACUUCCUUCGAAUAGAAUAUUUGGAACACCAUCAGGAGUUGUUCCUACCUCUAGCAAAAUCACCAAACAUCGGGAGUCCCUUCCUAAAUCGUGAUACCAAAUGUGUUGUAUCUCACCAUCUAUUCGAGGAAGAACAUGUUGUUUUUGAAGAUCUUCAUCUCGAUUGCGUCGUCUUGAAGGUUGUGACAAUUGUAAUGUCUCGUCCGGUAGGUCAACAAAUGAAGGCUCUUGAGUUACCUAUAGAAGGUAGUAUAGAGAUUAGUCAAUAGUCAAGCAGUGUAUCAGUUUUUGAUUGCUGGAAUAUAUACAAUUGCAAGAAUACACCGUAAAUCUAUACGGAUGUCCUUUGACUGCUUGUCGAAGUCCUUUUUUGCCCGAACCCGUAGGUCUCUAGACGUUACAGACAACCCCGAACAACCCAAACUCUUAAUCUUCAAUACCGCUUUGUACUUAUGAUCUUGUAUCCACUGACAGUCUUGUUAGAUUAAUCCAAUAAAUUUUGUUCACUCCGCAAUAUCAAUCCUAUAGAUACCCUUUUAACUCUUCAUCACAGACGUAACUUGAUUUCACAAAACAGUCAAGAGUAAUCAAACCCACUUCAUUAAAAAUCCCGAUUCACCAUUACAACAUUGACUUCAGCAACGAUUGCCUCAGUCUUCCGAAAACCCAAUGAAGAAGAAAAACUCAAUUCUCUGUCUUUCCUUCCCCGAUCCGAAUCAUGAAGCUAGCUCUCUCUAAUCCCCCCUCUCAAAACACUUUCCUCCAAAACUAUAUCUCUCCCCUAACCUUAUCCUCUGAAUUUCUUCAAUCUUCGGUCUUAGAUCCGGAAUUGGCUCCCACCGUCAAGCUUGGAUCCGAAAUUGGCUCUCGCCGUCAAAGCUUUCUCCUCCGUUUUUACCUUUAAGAAUCCAUUUACCGGAAACAACGUUCCCUGAAACGGCACAGAGAAUAGGUCACCCUGAAACAGAAUCGAAACCCCGUACUCGAGUCUACAUUGAAUCGCCCGACCAAUUCAAGUCUCAUAUUGGAUAAGAGUCCAGUAGUAAGACCCGGAUGUUCCCGUAAUUGGAUCAAAUUGGUCCUUCGCAUCAGAUAGGCUGAGGCCCGUAGUAAGACCUCGAUUUUCCCGUUAUUAGACUGCAUUGGGUUGUCCGGCCAAUUCACGUCUCAUAUUGGGUAAGAGGACCCGGAUUGGAUUCUCGAAAUUGGAUCCAAUUGGCUCUUCGAACCAAGCUCAUCCGUCGUGUGAAUUGGUCCUUUUCUUUCUUGCUGAUUCCUGUUAUUGGAAUCGAAUGGAGCAUUUAAGUAUGCCCUGGCUGACUGUAACGGGGUGACUGAACCUGAUCACUCAGUAUUUGCACUGAAAUUGGUCGUCGCUCCCAAUAUUCGAGGUAACUGAAUAUUAAUAAAAGUCCUCUCUCUUUAUAUUUUCACGAUAUACUCGUCUUACAACACGACACCCGUAGAUGUAACCGAUAUGCAAUUGGGUUGAUCUGUUCAGAAACAGAAAAGGGACCAAGCCUACGAUAGUCCAACUUGUCACAAGGUCGAGUAGUCUUGAUAUUGUGACGAAGUAGCCAUACCUUAUCACCCACGUUGAUUUGUGGUUGCUCCUUACGAUAUACAUCUACGUUUAUCUUUUGUCGUUGUUGAGCUUCCUUCAAUUGCGUCUUCAUUAUUGCAUAUAACUCUGACAACCGAUUUGCCAUAUCUUUUGCUGCAGGAUUAUCAACUUUUGAAAAAUCAAAAGUAUCAAGUCGUGGAUGAUAGCCAUAAUUGGUAAAGAAAGGUGUUUGUUGCAUGGAAGAAUAUACCGUAUUAUUAUAAGCAAACUCUGCCAAUGGCAGAAGGGUUGUCCAAUCAUCUUGUUGGUAGUUGAUAGUACACCUUAAAUAUUGCUCCAAGACUUAGUUUACGUGCUCUGUUUGUCCAUCAGUUUGACGAUGGAAAGCCAAAGAUAGCUUUAUGUCCACUUUUAAAAUCUUGAAAAGGGUCCUCCAAAAUCUUGACACAAAUUGAGUUCUCCUAUCCGAUAUGAUAUCUUUAGGUAAUCCAUGAUAGCGAUAGAUAUUAUCAAUGAAAAGCUUAGUUGUUUCUUCACCUGUGAUAGAUUAUAUAUAUGACUCAAAAUGUGCCAUCUUGGUGAAACGAUCUACUAUCAUAAAUAUAGAAUCAUAAGAUCUUGAGCUUAGAAGAUCUGUGAUGAAAUCCAUAGAAACAGAAGACCAUGGUUGUUCUGGUAUAGGUAAUGGCUGAAGAAGUCCGUAAGGUCGAUGACGAGGAUUUUUUUGAUCUUGAACAAAUAUCACAUGAUUGUAUAAAGUCUUUCACUGACUUCCAUAUUUGUGGCCACCAAAAAUCUCUUGAUAUGAGUUCCAAAGUCUUAUUAUAUCCAAAGUGCCCUACUGCUAGAAAGUCAUGACGUGCUUGAAGAACACGUAAACGUGCUUCUCCUUCUGGAACAUAUAGGCGUCCUUCAAAAUAUAAUAGAUUAUUCUUGAACUCGAACUUAGAAGGAUCAUGAGACUUGGAAGAAUUAUUCUUGAUAUCAUGAACAAGAGGGUCUGAGGACAUACUCGACUGGAUUUGCUUGAGAAAAGUUGAAUCAACAGUCAAUGUUGAUUUCAUUGCUCGGAGAUGAAAUUGCUCCGAUUUCAAGAGGACCGAUCUUUGUUGCUCAAAAGCUGCAUCUCCUUCUUUUGGUGUAAAAUUAGAACGUCUAGAUAGGGCAUCGGACAAACCUUGUUGUUUUUCUGGCCGAUAAGUGAUAAUGAACUCGAAUCUUGACAAAAACAUACUCCAACGAGUUUGACGACGAUUCAAUACGCAUAUUGACAUGAAAUACCCGAGGUUCUUGUGAUCUGUAUACAUAGUGACUGGACUAGAAGCGCUUUCUAGAUAAUGACGCCAUUCUUGAAAGGAAUCCACGAUUACAAGAAGUUCUUUAUCGUGGAUCACAUAAUUGAUCUCGGCUGUUGAGAAUUUUCUUGAAUGAAAAGCUAUCGGAUGAAGUUUGUCAUCUGAUCCCAUUUGUGAUAAAACUGCACCGAAGGCAAAAUCUGAUGCAUCUGUUUCCAUAAAAAAUAUCUUGGAAAAGUCAACACGAUAUAAGACUGGUGCAGAGACAAACGAUGUCUUUAAGGCUUCAAAUGCUGCUUCCGCUUCUUGAUUCCAUUGGAAUUUAUCUUUAUUAGUUAAGCGUGUUAGUGGAGCUGCAACUCGUGAGAAAUCUUUGAUGAAGAUCCGAUAGUAAUUGGUAAAUCCCAAGAAACAUUGGACAUCUCUUACUGUCCUUGGAAUCUUCCAAUCCAUGAUUGUUUGGACUUUCUUAGAAUCCAUCAUGAGACCAUCAUUUGAAAUGAUAUAUCCUAAAAAGUCAACUUGAGUAGUGUGAAAUAUAUACUUUUCCAUCUUGGCAUACAAUCCUGCAUCUCUAAGUUUUUGUAAUACUUGACGAACAUAUAUUUCAUGUUCUUCGACGUUCUUAGAAUAGAUCAAGAUAUCAUCUAGAUAGCAGAUGACAAAAUUGUCUAAAAAUUCACAAAAUACAUCAUUCAUGAGAUGUUGAAAAGCAGCUGGUGCAUUCGUGAGUCCAAAAGGCAUGACAUUAUAUUCGAAAUGUCCAUACCUGGUUCAAAACGCAGUCUUCCAUUCAUCUCCUUCUUUGAUCCGUACUAGAUUAUAUACUCCUCUUAGAUCUAUUUUUGUAUAGAUCUUAGCUUGAUUCAACUGGUUAAGGAGUCUUGAUAUCAAAGGUAAUGGAUACCUGUUCUUGAUUGUGAUCUUGUUGAGUCCUCGAUAAUCAACACACUUUUGUAAAGAUCCAUCUUUAUUCUUUACGAAUAGAAUUGGAGCUCUUGCUGGAGAUUUUGAAUGGCGUAUGAAAUUCUUCGCUAAAUUCUCAUCAAUAUAUGUCUUGAGUUCAGUCAUCUCAUCUUGCGAUAAACUGUAAAUUGGUCCAAAUGGUGGCUGAGUUCCUUCCUUGAGGUCAAUUGAACAAUCAUAUGGACGAUGCUCAUGAAGAAUAUCUACAUUUUUUUUUCUCAAAAACGUCUUGAUAUUCUUGAUAUUGACUUGAAAUGCCACUUGAAGUCUUUACGUUUUCAGAAAUAGGUGCAGCAUAAAUAGCAAAAGUUGAUCCUUCUUUUGCUGCGUGUAUAAAUGCUUUUGCACCUAUCAGUAUGGGUUUUAUUAUACUAGACUUAUAAUUUUUUACUUGGUUGGUAGAACUAUUAGUAACGCUCUGGAAAAAGGUAAGUUUAUGCGAAUUCUAAUCUAUUUGAGGAUUAUAUUUUUGUAACCAGGAUAAACCUAAAAUAACUGGAUUGGACGGGGAUUUAAUUAUGUUAAAAGCUAUGUAGCUAUCAUGACCGUCUAUUGUUACUUUUAUAGGAUGAGUUUCAUGAGUGACAUCUCUAAAAGAUAAGGGACGACCAUCUAUGACUUCUACAUGUACUGGUUUAGGUUUCUGUACAAAAGGUAUUUUACGACUUUUAACAAAUUGUUCAUCUAAAAAACAUGCUGAAGCUCCCGAAUCUAAUAAAGUAGAGGCUUUGUAAUUCUUAGGUCCUAAAUAUAAGUCUAUUAUAAAACAAGGAGAGGGUUCUGAGGAGAGGAUAGGACCUUCAUUAGGAAUUGUACAAGGUUCCAGCUACAUGGUCUUUAUUAUAGCUGGACGAAUCCGUUUUCCGACAUGUUUUUUUCUUUGACCGUCGUACCCCUCAUUUUAUAGUUGCGUCGUUUCUUUGGACAAUGUUGAGUAGUGUGCUUAGGUUCUCCGCAAUAUAAACAUAAUCCUUCUUCAUAAUGAUGAAUCUUUUCUUGCUCUGUUAGGAAUUUAAAACGUACCGUGUCAAUUUGCAUGACUUCUAUAUUUGAAUGUACGUUUGGCAAAGAUGUUGAUAUUGCCAUUGAGUAAUAAUGUUGAAGUUCCCGUAAAUGAUUCUUGGAUCGAAAUUCAAAAAGUUGAUUAUCACAUUUUAUCGCAAAAUCGAUUGCUUGACUCAAAGUUUGAAGAUCAGGUAAGUUGAGCAUCAAUUUCUUUACUUCGUAUUGCAAUCCAUAAAAAAAUUGAUUGAUGAGUGCAGCAUCAUCCCACUUAAUGUCAAUUGCAAGUUGUCAAAAUUGUAAAGCAUACACUGUUAUUAAGCGAUUUCUUUGUCGCAGAAUUCGGAUCUUAUUUGUUGCAACACAAGUUGCAUCGUGUUCACCAUACAUAGAUCAAAACUCUGCCAAAAAAGCUUUCAAAUUUUCCAAUAUUGGAUUUCGUUGUUCAAGAAAAGAUGAAAACCACGAUAAUGCAGAACCAGAAAGUAGAGUGUCAAUAAAUCUGACUUGUGAUCUUGGAGUUGGAUAGCUUUGCAGUUGAAGUUCAAUUAUCAAUUGUACUUGAUUGAUGAACCCUCGAAACUUAGAUCUCAUACUAUCAAAUUUCUCGGAUAAAGUAAUUCUUGGUUCUCUAGUGCUUACAUGAUGUUGUACAAUUGGAGAAGGAACGUGAUUUGUUGUAGAUGUUGAAGCAGCUCCGAUCAUCUCUAUAUCCCCACUUUUUGCUAUUCUUGUUCUUUCAUGUGUUGGUGAAUUGAGUUGAUUCAUCGCAAGCAUUAACUCCCUCAUUUGCUCUUGCAUUUGUGCCAUUGCACUCUUCAUUUCAACAAGCUCUGCCAUAAUGAUACUAAGAAGAAAAAUUUGUUUGAUACUGCUCAAGAUAAAAGAAAAAAAAGACUUGAUAACAAAGAAGAUACUAAGAACAAUAUCAGUUUAGAAGUGGGUAAUCUGCAAACUUCUAAUACGCUUAUGUCUUGUCAAGAGAAAGGGAUAAUCCACUCUCAUUCAAGAAAAAUAAAGCUCUGAUAUUAUAAGUGCACUCUUGUCAAUCUGUCAAGGACAAGAACUUGAUGAAAAAAUAAUUCAGACAAGUGAGCCUUCACUCAAAGAAAGGUAACAAAAUGUAUAUAAACAAGUAUAUAUAUUGAAAGAGAAACUGGAAUGGCUAUUGUCAAAAGACAAGAAAACUAGAUACCCUUGAAACUAGACUAGAAGCAAGAAAGGAGUUGACAAGAGUGAAGAAGCCUUCACUCUUGUCUCUAUAUAUACUAUCUAACUAGGGGCUAUAUGGCGACGUUCUAUAGGACCUCCAAUAUGUGUUGACUUUGUAGGACACAUGCCUUGACUUACAAGGCAAGUUUUUCUACGUGAAGGCCACAUAGUUAGCUUGAUCUUCAAGCUAACAACAUGUGUGGCACAUGGCCAACUUGUAGACCACGUUUCUAAUCCAAAAAGUCAAUUAAAGACACCUAUGAAGUUAGAGCAGUGUCUAGGAAGUUUUUAGGAAGCUUCUAUAUCAAAUAUUAUAGAGUUAACUUACUUUUAUUUACUUUUACUUACUUCUACCUAUUUCUACAUAUAAUUAUUAGCUUACAUGAUUAUGGCCGUGACAGCCAAUCUUAGUGCUAAUCCAUAGGGAAUAGAUAAUAUUAUCUCAUUGCAGGCUGUACUACCAACAAUAGUAAUUUUAUAUUUAUUAUAUCUCAUCUAUCAAAAAUCAGUAUCCACAAAAGAAUUAUCUAAUGAAAUAAUUUUGAAGGAUCCAAAUGAAGCCUUGUUGUUAACUUUGACAAAGAAGAUGGACGAAUUGGUUGUUAAUCUGACAAAAGAUAUGAAAAAGAAGCAUAAACCGACCAAUAUGCAUUCCAAUAUUUGGUGUAGUUAUUGUAAAGGAUAAGACCAUAUGGUAACGGAAUGUUCUUCACCACCUUAAAUAAUUGUGUAAUGUACAUUUUGUGGAGGUAAUCAUGCCACCAUCAAUUAUUAAAAUUUACAAAAUCAACAACAAUUUGAAGGUGUAUUCGUUAUCUUAUAGUAAGCAAAAUUAAUGUCUAGAAGAAGGGAUCUCAUAGAGUGCAUGAGAGGAGGAAAGCACUGAUUUUCUAUAAGGUAGUGUAUUCCUUCCCUCUAGUUUUGUGGCGUCAAAAGAAUUACUAUUAGGAUUGAACUUGGCACCAACUGAAUCGAAUGAAGAAUGUGAACAGUUGGAGAGACAUAUUAUGAAGACGGAUGAAAAGUCUUUGGAGUCAAAAGGAGUCAGCAUAGGUGGACAAGGCUUCAAUCUCUUGCACAUAUUGCUCAUGUUACUUAUGGAGGAAGAAUGGUGAGACCUGCUUGGUAAGAAAGUAACUGCUUCUGACAUUCUGGGUAUCAACUUUCGUCUUCUUGAGGUAAUUUUUACUAAUUUGCACUCCUAACUCUUCCCUACAUAUGACUAUAUCCUAUAUCCUUUUUAAUCUACCUUGUUUUGCCUUAUUUAUGGCCUUAUAAAGUAAAGAAAAGCAUAAUUUGCAAAUAGGCAAUAUUAGCUCCUUAAAUUUUUCUAUCCUUUGACUAGUAAUUAUUUUUCCAAGAUAAUUUGCAACAAUAUUUUUGAAGUAAGACCCUCAAAACAUGAUAUUCUCUUCACCCUUUCACUUAUUAUCCAUGUUACAUCAUGACAUCCACCCCUCCUGAACUUGUGCAUCCUCCGGUAUGCACCAAAUAAUCCAACUUUGUUUGAUUCAUACAAUAUUUUCAAUGUCCUCAUUCAACUCUUCUUCUUCAUAUUCGCUAUUCAAAUCAAAGUCAUCUUGUUGUCUUGUAAGAUUUAUAUAUUUGACAAAGUCUUCUAUAAUUAUUUAUAUUUUCUUUUAUUUGAAUAUCUUCACUCGCUUCGAUUAUCAUCCUUUAAUCCAAUAUAUGCAAUUUCGUUCAAAAAUCUUCCAAUCCAUUUUCUUGAUAAAUACCAAAAAUCUUUUAUCAUCUUUUAAUAUUCAUAACUCACAUUAUAUAUAUAUAUAUAUAUAUAUAUAUAUAUAUAUUUUUGAAUUCGAAUAAACUUGAAUCAAAAGUACCUACAUCUUAUAAGAGUAUCUCCUUUUCAUACCUCCAUAGUAUCGCUUUACAAUGAUACUUCUCCAUUUUUUAUUUCUAUUAUUAUUUUUUUUUAUAAUAAAACUAAUAUCAAAGUAUCAAAGGCACCUAUAUCUUGUAAAUGUACCUUCCUUUUUAUACCUUCAUAGUCUUGCUUUACAAUAAUACUUCUCCAAAAUCUCCUCUUUUUUUUCUUUUUUUUUUGAAUAAAACUUAAAUCAAAGGCAUCUAUAUCUUGUAAAUGUACCUUUUUUUUUAUAAUUCCAUAGUUUUGCUUUACAAUGAUACUUCUCCAAAUUUUUUUUUUUUUUUCCAAUAAAAUUAAAAUCAAAGGCAUUUAUAUCUUGUAAGAGUACCUCCCCCUUUUAUACCUCCAGUCUUGUUUUAGAAUGAUACUUCUCCAAAAUAUCCAUAUAUAUAUAUAUAUAUAUAUAUAUAUAUAUAUACAUAGUUCAAUACCAAUGUUUCCAUUUACUCCUCAUGUACAAGUAAUUUGCAAAUAUCCUCCUUUGCACAUGACGAAACCAUUGGCGAGGUACAAAAUUUGAAAUGAUAAGAUUGAAUUGAAACCUCUUCCACAUAGCCUCAUACAUCUUGUUUGUAUCAUUUUUCUUAUUUCUUUGAUUUCAAGUCCCAUAUGAGAUGUCCAUGUAAUCUUUAAAUCUAUUUUUCAUAUCUUUAUAUUUGAAGAUUUUUAGAUUUUUAACCCUUGAAUUCCAUAUUUGAUGAUAAACCUCAUCUUUGUCAAAAUCCAAUUGUGUCUCCUUUACACAUGCAUUAUCUAUGUAACUUUGACCUUGAUUCAAAAGAAAAGUGCUUACAAUUAACUUAAUCAUUGUCAAUGACUUAGCAUCCUUAUCCUUUGUCCCAUAAUCUUCAUUUGCCACAUAAUCUUGUAUAAUAUCCCUCAUAUCUUCUUGAAUGCAUCCUUGUGAAACAUCAUAAUCUUGUGUUGUUUCAAAGCAUUGUAUAACUUCAUAAUAUUGAAAAUUCUCAUGCCCUUUUGAAAUCUCAUGCUCUUGAAAAGUCCCAUAAUUUUCACAAUAACCCUUUGUGGUUUCACAACCACAUUUAGUAUCGUAAUCUUAUACAAUUUCAUAAUCCUUUUUAUGAUAAUCAUGUGAAAAUUCAUAAUUGUUUUUACCCAACUCAUAUGUGGUCUCAUAGCCAUAUGCAAUUUGACUUUCUUCGUCAUAUCCUGUCAAGGACAAGAACUCGUUGAAAGCUAAAGAGUAAGUGAGACUUUUCUCAAAAAGAAAUAGGACAAAAUAGAAAUAUGUAUAUUAAGAAAGAAACUGGAAUGGCUAUUGCCAAAAUACAAAAAAACUAGAGACCCUUGAAACUAGACUAGAAGCAAUAAAGGAGUUGACAAGAGUGAAGAAGGCUUCACUCUUGCCUCUAUAUAUACUAUCUAACUAGAAGCCACGUGGCGAUGUUCUAUAAGACCUCCAAUAUAUGUUGACUUUUUAGGCCACAUGCCUUUGCUUGCAAGGCAAGUUUUCUAUAGAUGGACCACGUAGUUAGCUUGUUCUUUAAGCUUCCAACAUGUGUGGCACAUGGCUAACUUGUUGACCAAGUUUCUAACCUAAAAGCCAACUAUAGACUCCUAUAAAGUCAAAGCAGCGUCUAUAAAGCUUCUAAGAAGCUUCUCUAGAAGAUAUUACACAAUUAACCUACUUUUAUCUACUUUUACAUACUUUUAUCUAUUCAUAUAUUUAAUUAUAUGUAUGUCCGUGACAUUACCCCUCUUUUUAGAGACGAGUUCCACGAGGAGCGGUGAUUAUAUAUUGAGAAAGUCUAAUAUGCGACGAAUUGUAUUUGCUACAUACUCUGAUCUUUGUUCUCUUCGAAGAUAGUUGAUGGGUCUUCUUAGCCAUCGAUAGUGUCCCUUUCCAGGGCAAGAAGACCACCCUGUUAUUUGAUCACUGUUGAGGCCUUCAUAACUUCCUUCAAAUAAUACAUUUGAAACACCAUCAGGAGUCGUUCCUAUCUCCAAUAAUAUCACCAAACAUUGAGAAUCUCUUCCAAGGUCGUGAUACCAAACGCGUUGUAUCUCACCAUCUUUUCGAGGAAGAACAUGUCGUUCUUGAGGGUCUUCAUCUCGGUUGUGUCGUCUUGAAGGUUGUGACAAUCGCAAUGUCUCAUCCGGUAAGUCAGCAAACGAAGGUUCUUGAGUUGAAUCCGCUGGUUGUUGGCUCUCCAUCUAAUUAGCGUCACAAAAUGCAAAGAAGUUACAAACAAGGAUAGGAAAUUGAAUGUUAUCUUGCCUCAAUCUUGUCUCUUUUAUAAGAGAGGUUUUCAUCUUGAUUUUGAUGGAUGUCGUUGAUGAAAAACUUUGACUUUAGCUGAUGCAUUUGCUAGAUUCCUGGAUGGCUCCCAUGUGCGCUCACUAAUAUCAUAUCCGCACCAAUGAACAAGAUAUUCCAACUUAUUUCGGUACCGCCUUGAGUCUAAUAUCUCUUCCACCUCAAAUUCUUCAUUAUUAUCUACUUUUAUAGGAGGCGGUGGCAUUUGUCUUCUUCUUUGUAUAUCCACUAUCUUAUAUAGUUCAAGAAGAGACACGUGGAAUACAGGAUGGAUCUUCAUUGACUCCGAUAAAUGUAACCGAUAUGCAACUGGGUUGAUCUGUUCAGAAACAAAAAAGAGGCCAAGCCUACGAUAGUCCAAUUUGUCACAAGGUCGAGUGGUCUUGAUAUUGCGACGAAGUAGCCAUACCUUAUCACCCACGUUGAGUUGUGGUUGUUUUUUACGAUAUACAUCUGCAUUUAUCUUUUGUCGUUCUUGAGCUUUCUUCAACUGCGCCUUCAUUAUUGCAUGUAACUCUGACAACCGAUUUGCCAUAUCUUCUGCUGCAGGAUUAUCAACUUUUGAAAAAUCAAAAGUAUCAAGUCGUGGAUGAUAGUCAUAAUUGGCAAAGAAAGGUGUUUGUUGCGUGGGAGAAUGUACCGUAUUUUUAUAAGCAAACUCUGCCAAUGGCAGAAGGUUUGUCCAAUCAUCUUGUUGGUAGUUGAUGGUACACCUUAAAUACUGUUCCAAGACUUGGUUUACGCGCUCUGUUUGUCCAUCAGUUUGAGGAUGGAAAGCUGAAGAUAGCUUUAUGUCCACUUUUAAAAUCUUGAAAAGAGUCUUCUAGAAUCUCGACACAAAUUGAGUUCCCCUAUCCGAUAUGAUAUCUUUAGGUAAUCCAUGAUAGCGAUAGAUAUUAUCAAUGAAAAGCUUAGUUGUUUCUUCACCUGUGAUAGAUUUUGUACAUGGCAUAAAAUGUGCCAUCUUGGUGAAACGAUCUACUAUCACAAAUAUAGAAUCAUAAGAUCUUGAGUUUGGAAGAUCUGUGAUGAAAUCCAUAGAAACAGAAGACCAUGGUUGUUCUGGUAUAGGUAAUGGCUGAAGAAGUCCGUAAGGUCGAUGUCGAGGAAUUUUUGAUCUUGAACAAAUAUCACAUGAUUGUACAAAGUCUUUGACUGACUUCCACAUUUGUGGCCACCAAAAAUCUCUUGAUAUGAGUUCCAAAGUCUUAUUAUAUCCAAAGUGCCCUACUGCUAGAAAGUCAUGACGUGCUUGAAGAACACGCAAACGUGCUUCUCCUUCUGGAACAUAUAGGCGUCUUUCAAAAUAUAAUAGAUUAUUCUUGAACUCGAAUUUAGAAGAAUCAUGAGACUUGGAAGAAUUAUUCUCGAUAUCAUGAACAAGAGGGUCUGAGGACAUACUGGACUGGAUUUGCUUGAGAAAAGUUGAAUCAACAGUCAAUGUUGAUUUCACUGCUCGGAGAUGAAAUUGCUCCGGUUUCAAGAGGACCGUUCUUUGUUGCUCAAAAGCUGCAUCUCCUUCUUUUGGUGUAAAAUAAGAACGUCUAGACAGGGCAUUGGACAAACCUUGUUGUUUUCCUGGCCGAUAAGUGAUAAUGAAGUCGAAUCUUGACAAAGACAUACUCCAACGAGCUUGACGACAAUUCAACACGCUUGCUGACAUGAAAUACUCGAGGUUCUUGUGAUCUGUAUACACAAUGACUGGACUAGAAGCGCCUUCUAGAUAAUGACGCCAUUCUUGAAAGGAACCCACGAUUGCAAGAAGUUCUUUAUCGUGGAUCUCAUAAUUGAUCUCGGUUACUGAGAAUUUUCUUGAAUGAAAAGCUAUCGGAUGAAGUUUGUCAUCUGUUCCCAUUUGUGAUAAAACUGCACCCAAGGCAAAAUCCGAUGCGUCUGUUUCCAUAAAAAAUACCUUGAAAAAGUCAACACAAUAUAAAACUGGUGCAGAGACAAACGAUGUCUUCAAGGCUUCAAAUGCUGCUUCCUCUUCUUGAUUCCAUUGGAAUUUAUCUUUACUAGUCAAGCGUGUAAAUGGAGCUGCAACUCGUGAGAAGUCUUUGAUGAAGAUCCGAUAGUAAUUGGCAAAUCCCAAGAAACAUUGGACAUCUCUUACAGUCUUUGGAAUCUUCCAAUCCAUGAUUGUUUGGACUUUCUUAGAAUCCAUCAUAAGACCAUCAUUUGAAAUGAUGUAUCCUAAAAAGUCAACUUGAGUAGUGUGAAAUACACACUUUUCCAUCUUGGCGUACAAUCCUGCAUCUCUGAGUUUUUGUAAUACUUGACGAACAUGUAUUUCAUGUUCUUCAACAUUCUUAGAAUAAAUCAGGAUAUCGUCUAGGUAGCAGACGACAAAAUUGUCUAAGAAUUCACGAAAUACAUCAUUCAUGAGAUGUUUGAAAAGCAGCUGGUGCAUUCGUGAGUCCAAAAGGCAUGACAUUAUAUUCAAAAUGCCCGUACCUGGUUCAAAACGCAGUCUUCCAUUCAUCUCCUUCUUUGAUCCGUACUAGAUUAUAUGCUCCUCUUAGAUCUAUUUUUGUAUAGAUCUUAGCUUGAUUUAACUGGUCAAGGAGUCCUGAUAUCAAAGGUAAUGGAUACCUGUUCUUGAUUGUGAUCUUGUUGAGUCCUCGAUAGUCAACACACAUUCGUAAAGAUCCAUCUUUUUUCUUUACGAAUGAAAUUGGAGCUCCUGUUGGAGAUUUUGAAUGGCGUAUGAAAUUCUUCGCUAAAUUCUCGUCAAUAUAUGUCUUGAGUUCAGCCAACUCAUCUUGCGAUAAACUAUAAAUUGGUCCAAAUGGUGGCUGAGUUCCUUCCUUGAGAUCGAUUGAACAAUCGUAUGGGCGAUGCUCAGGAAGAAUAUCUGCAUUCUUUUUCUCAAAAACGUCUUGAUAAUCCUGAUAUUGACUUGGAAUGCCACUUGAAGUCUUUACGCUUUCAGAAAUAGGUGCAGCAUAAAUAGCAAAAGUUGAUCCUUCUUUUGCUGCGUGUAUAAAUGCUUUUGCACCUAUAAGUGCGAGUUUUACUAUACUAAACUCAUGGUUUUUUACUUGAUUAAUAGAACUGUUACUAAUGCUCCGAGGAAAAUCAAGUUUACGAGAAAUCCAAUCUAUUCGAGGAUUAUACUUUUCUAACCAUGAUAAGCCUAAAAUUAUUGGAUUAGAGGGAGAUCUAAUUAUAUUAAAAAUUACGCAACUACUAUGACCAUUUAUUACUACAUCUACAAGAAGUGUUUCGUGAGUUACAUCUCCAGAAGCUAACGGACGACCAUCUAUGACUUCUACGUGUACAGGUUUAGUUUUUUGUAUUAAUGAUAUUCUAUGACAUCUAGCAAAUUCUUCAUCUAAAAAACAAGAUGAGGCUCCUGAAUCUACUAAGGUAGAGGCUUUGUAAUUAUUAGGUCCUAAACGCACAUCUAUUAUAAAACAAGGAGAUGGUUCUGAGGAGAGGAUAGGACCUUCAUUAGAAGUUGUACAAGAUUCCAGCCGCACGGUCCCUAUUGUAGCUGGACGUAUUCGUUUUCCGACAUACUGUCUUCUUUGACAGCCGUACUCCUCAUUUUGUAGUUACGUUGCUUCUUUGGACAAUGUUCAGCAGUGUGCUUAGGUUCUCCACAAUAUAAGCACAAUCCUUCUUGUCGACGACGAGACUUUUCUUGCUCAGUAAGAGGUUUGAAACGUACCGCAUCAAUUUGCAUAUCCUCUACUUCUAAAGGUAUGUGUUGAAGAGACGUCGGUGUUGCUAUUGAAUUGUAGUAACGUUGAGGCCCACUUGUGCGACUCUCGGAUCGAAAUUCAAAAAGUCGAUUGUCGCACUUCACAGCAAAGUCAAUUGCUUGACUCAAUGUUUGAGGAUCUGGUAAAUUAAGCAUCAAUUUCUUUACCUCAUAUUGUAAUCCAUAGAGAAAUUGACUCACAAGUGCGGCAUCAUCCCACUUGAUAUCAGUUGCAAGUUGUCGAAAUUGUGAAGCAUAUAAUGUUACUGAUCGAUUGCCUUGUCGCAAAAUACGGAUCUUGUUGGUUGCAACACGAAUUGCAUCAUGUUCUCCAAACAUGGAUCAAAACUCCGCUAAAAAAGCCUCCAGAUUAUCCAAUAUUGGAUCUCGUCGUUCAAGAAAAGAUGAAAACCAUGACAAUGCUGAACCUGAAAGAAGUGUACCAAUGAAUUUAACUUGUGACCCUGGAGUUGGAUAGCUCUGGGGUUGAAGUUCAAUCACUAGUUGGACCUGAUUGAUGAAUCCUCGAAACUUGGAUCUGGUACCAUCAAACUUCUCGUGCAAGGCAACUCUCGGUUCUCUAACACUCGAAGGGUGUUCCAUUCUGGGAGAAGGGACAUGGUUUGGUGCAGAUGUUGAAGCAGCCCCAAUCAUCUCUAUAUCUUCACUUCCUACCAUUCUUGUUGCUCCUUGUGGUGGUAAAUUGAGUUGAUGCAUCGCAAGCAUUAACUCCCUCAAUUGUUCUUGCAUCUGUGCCAUUGCACUCUUCAUUUCAACAAGCUCUGCCAUAGUAGCACUUAGAAAAGAGAAGAUGUCUAAUAACGCUCAAAACAAAUAGAAGAGAGGAAUUGAUAACAAAGAAAAUACUAAGAACAAUAUCAGUUUAAAAGAGGGUAAUCCGCAACUUCUAAUGCGCUUAUGUCUUAUCAAGAAAAAGGGGUAAUCCACUCUUAAUCAAGAAAAGACAAAGCUCUGAUAUUGUAAGAGUACUCUUGUCAAUCUGUCAAGGACAAGAACUCGAUGAAAGCUAAAGAGUAAGUGAGACUUUUCUCAAAAAGAAAUAGGACAAAAUAGAAAUAUGUAUAUUAAGAAAGAAACUGGAAUGGCUAUUGCCAAAAUACAAGAAAACUAGAGACCCUUGAAACUAGACUAGAAGCAAGAAAGGAGUUGACAAGAGUGAAGAGGGCUUCACUCUUGCCUUUAUAUAUACUAUCUAACUAGAAGCCACGUGGCGAUGUUCUAUAAGACCUCCAAUAUAUGUUGACUUUCUAGGCCACAUGCCUUUGCUUGCAAGGCAAGUUUUCUAUGGAUGGACCACGUAGUUAGCUUGUUCUUUAAGCUUCCAACAUGUGUGGCACAUGGCUAACUUGUUGACCAAGUUUCUAACCUAAAAGUCAACUAUAGACUCCUAUAAAGUCAAAGCAGCGUCUAUGAAGCUUCUAAGAAGCUUCUCUAGAAGAUAUUACACAAUUAACCUACUUUUAUCAACUUUUAUAUACUUUUAUCUAUUCAUAUAGGUAAUUAUAUGUAUGUCCGUGACAUUAUCAUGGCUUUGCUUUGAUUAGCACUGACUUUGGCUAGUAACCUUUGCAUGGUGUCUUUAGUUGCAUUUCAUUCUAUUGCAUGAUGCACACAAAAAGUAUAAUAAAAUUUCAAACAAUUCUAGAACUUACCAAAGUCUUCUAUAAUUAUUUAUAUUUUCUUUUAUUUGAAUAUCUUCACUCGCUUCGAUUAUCAUCCUUUAAUCCAAUAUAUGCAAUUUCGUUCAAAAAUCUUCCAAUCCAUUUUCUUGAUAAAUACCAAAAAUCUUUUAUCAUCUUUUAAUAUUCAUAACUCACAUUAUAUAUAUAUAUAUAUAUAUAUAUAUUUUUGAAUUCGAAUAAACUUGAAUCAAAAGUACCUACAUCUUAUAAGAGUAUCUCCUUUUCAUACCUCCAUAGUAUCGCUUUACAAUGAUACUUCUCCAUUUUUUAUUUCUAUUAUUAUUAUUUUUUUAUAAUAAAACUAAUAUCAAAGUAUCAAAGGCACCUAUAUCUUGUAAAUUUACCUUCGUUUUUAUACCUUCAUAGUCUUGCUUUACAAUAAUACUUCUCCAAAAUCUCCUCUUAUUUUUUUUUUUUCUUUUUAAAUAAAACUUAAAUCAAAGGCAUCUAUAUCUUGUAAAUGUACCUUUGUUUUUAUAAUUCCAUAGUUUUGCUUUACAAUGAUACUUCUCAAAAAUAAUUUUUUUUUUUUCCAAUAAAAUUAAAAUCAAAGGCAUUUAUAUCUUGUAAGAGUACCUCCCCCUUUUAUACCUCCAGUCUUGUUUUAGAAUGAUACUUCUCCAAAAUAUCCAUAUAUAUAUAUAUAUAUAUAUAUAUACAUAGUUCAAUACCAAUGUUUCCAUUUACUCCUCAUGUACAAGUAAUUUGCAAAUAUCCUCCUUUGCACAUGACGAAACCAUUGGCGAGGUACAAAAUUUGAAAUGAUAAGAUUGAAUUGAAACCUCUUCCACAUAGCCUCAUACAUCUUGUUUGUAUCAUUUUUCUUAUUUCUUUGAUUUCAAGUCCCAUAUGAGAUGUCCAUGUAAUCUUUAAAUCUAUUUUUCAUAUCUUUAUAUUUGAAGAUUUUUAGAUUUUUAACCCUUGAAUUCCAUAUUUGAUGAUAAACCUCAUCUUUGUCAAAAUCCAAUUGUGUCUCCUUUACACAUGCAUUAUCUAUGUAACUUUGACCUUGAUUCAAAAGAAAAGUGCUUACAAUUAACUUAAUCAUUGUCAAUGACUUAGCAUCCUUAUCCUUUGUCCCAUAAUCUUCAUUUGCCACAUAAUCUUGUAUAAUAUCCCUCAUAUCUUCUUGAAUGCAUCCUUGUGAAACAUCAUAACCUUGUACUGUUUCAAAGCAUUGUAUAACUUCAUAAUAUUGAAAAUUCUCAUGCCCUUUUGAAAUCUCAUGCUCUUAAAAAGUCUCAUAAUUUUCACAAUAAUCCAUUGUGGUUUCACAACCACAUUUAGUAUCGUAAUCUUAUACAAUUUCAUAAUCCUUUUUAUGAUAAUCAUGUGAAAAUUCAUAAUUGUUUUUACCCAACUCAUAUGUGGUCUCAUAGCCAUAUGCAAUUUGACUUUCUUCGUCAUAUCCUGUCAAGGACAAGAACUCGUUGAAAGCUAAAGAGUAAGUGAGACUUUUCUCAAAAAGAAAUAGGACAAAAUAGAAAUAUGUAUAUUAAGAAAGAAACUAGAAUGGCUAUUGCCAAAAUACAAGAAAACUAGAGACCCUUGAAACUAGACUAGAAGCAAGAAAGGAGUUGACAAGAGUGAAGAGGGCUUCACUCUUGCCUCUAUAUAUACUAUCUAACUAGAAGCCACGUGGCGAUGUUCUAUAAGACCUCCAAUAUAUGUUGACUUUCUAGGCCACAUGCCUUUGCUUGCAAGGCAAGUUUUCUAUGGAUGGACCACGUAGUUAGCUUGUUCUUUAAGCUUCCAACAUGUGUGGCACAUGGCUAACUUGUUGACCAAGUUUCUAACCUAAAAGUCAACUAUAGACUCCUAUAAAGUCAAAGCAGCGUCUAUGAAGCUUCUAAGAAGCUUCUCUAGAAGAUAAUACACAAUUAACCUACUUUUAUCUACUUUUACAUACUUUUAUCUAUUCAUAUAGGUAAUUAUAUGUAUGUCCGUGACAUAUCCAUGCAUAAUCCCACCACUUUUUACAUCAUAAUAUUAUGAAUUCAUACAAUUUUUAUGAUUAUAACCUUUAAUAGAUUCAUAAUCUAUUUUUUAUAAAGGUUCAACUUUAAUUUCUUCAACACAAUCCAAAGUAUUAGGCAAAACAUCCUCACAACCUUCAAAUGUAGGAAACGUCUUUUUAUCACCAAGAGAUUUUUCAUCCAAACUGCCACCACAAACUUGUAUAAACUUAUUCAAUAUAGAAUAGCCAUAGCUUCCAACCGCAUUGUCAUUUGUUUCCAAAUCCUUGAUCUUCAUAUUACCUUCAAAUUUUUGGAUACCUUCGCCUUCCAUAGUAAUAGUUUUAAAAGAAUCUUUGUUCUCUCCUUCACUACCCUUGCUAUAAGAUCCAAUUUCUUUCAACUAUAAAAAUUUGGCUUUUCCAUUAAAAUCUUCCAUUUGCUCUUUCAUUUUUCUUUUUUUUAAGAUUAGUCCAUUGUAUUGAUAAAGAUGGCAUAGAAGCCAAAGUAGAAUAUUUCUUGGGCCAUAUUGCAACUCCUUUAGCUUUUGCUUCUUGCUGCCUUGCUAAAUCAACCACUACUUCCUUCAUUUUGUUCCAAUUAUUGAUACAAUCAUCUCCUACAGACUCAUCUACAAGAAGUAUGAAAAAUUCGUCUCCCAAGGCAUCAUCAAAGCUAUUUAAAAACAAAUCUAUCUUUAAAAUAUCCAAUGAUUGUCUCUUUGAGGGUGACAAUUGAUAACAUCUCCUAUCAAAUUCUUCUAAGAAUUCAUAAAGAUCCAUAUGCUUGCCUGAUUGAAACUCUAUCCAAUUCAAAAACUUUCGCUUAAUAAUCCUACCUUCAUAUCCAUCAAUAAAUUCUUUCUUCAAAAGUUCUUGAAAUUUUGACCAUGUUUCUAUACCUCCUUCAAGCAAUCCCUUCAUCUUUUUCUAAAAUCUAGGUUCAAAAGCCAAAUAUAAGCUUGAAAUUAUCUUUGCCUUAGGGAUUUGGCAUGUCUCCAUCUUACAUGUAUAAACUUGUAAAAACUUAGUGAUGUUGCAUCCUUCAAACCUCUCAAGUUUGUUGAUGACUCCUUGCAAUUCUUUUGUGAUAUCUUUUUCAAUUGCUUGCAUUCUUUGUUGUUCCUCCAUGAAUAUAUAGAAAGCUUUAAAAAACUCACUAAUAUUUGACCCAUCCAUAAUAUUCGGCAUAUCCAAAAACCUUGAUAAUACAUCUACCAUUUUGUUCUAUAAUGAUCAAAAAUGUUCCUUGAAAUGCUCCAAAUGGUACAUCAAAAUGCUCCAAUAAAUACCUUAUGAUACUUCACAAUGCUCCAACAUACCUAUAAAGCCUUAUAAUACUCCAUGAUAAUCCAAAUAUUGCCAUUGUAUUUAAAGAUAGUAUCAAAAGCUCUAAGAAUUCAAAAGCUCUAAUUCACAUAUCACCCAAAGCUCUUCUUCCAACUUUCUUGUCUUUCUUCUUCAAAAUUCAAAUAAUCCAAGAAAACCAAAUUCCUUCCAGAUGCCUAUGUCGCAGGAUGUGCAAGCGUAGCAUACAAUUUGGCGGUGGACCUCGUUCUUACCCGCGGCGAUGCACGAUGCAGAGGCGCCUCGAGAUGACGCGUUGGGUGGGGUGUACCAGAGGAGCCACAGCUUUUGGGGGUAGGGUUUAGGGUUGCACAAAUUCAACAAUUUCUUUUGAAGCCCGCCGAGGUCGUCGAUGUCCAAGGGUGAGUUUUUGGGAUUUCGGAUGGCAAACGAGGAGUCGCGGAUCGAGGCGAGGAGCGGUGAAGGGGGCUUUUAUGAGGAGGCAGGAAGGGAGCAAGUCGAACGGACAUGCGAGGGUUGAAGUUGGGAUCGGCAUCAGUGCUGGGGGCCGAGAAACCUGGUCGUGAGGAUUACAGACAUUUUUUGAUGCGUCGUUCAACAAUUUUGUGUCAUCGAAUAAUGAGGACGAGGAGGCAUGGGCAGUGAUAGACAUGUACGGGUGCAAUGAGUUUCGGAUGUUGGAAUUCUAGGUGAGGCGAUGUAUGAGAGGGAGGAGCCAUGAUUGGACGGAGGGCCCAUUUGCCCACCCGGGCGAGAAAGCUAGGCGUUGGAAUCCGCGGCGGUAUGAGGACUUGGGGAGAGCAUGUAUGGAGUUUCGAAAAAGGGAGCUCUCGGAGAGGCGAUGCUUGCGAGUUUGGGUGCAUUUAACUAUUUGAGUAUUGGCUGCAUUUGGCUAGGUACUUGGACUCAGCCGUGGAAGGAUGGGCAGAAUUAGCAUCGUGGAGUGUGGUUUUUGGUGCAUACGUCGGAGCAGCUGCAGUGGAUGCCUUGGGCGGCACAGGAGGCACAGGAAGCGACGACAAGAGAUCGGAGCACAAGGCGUCACGAAGGGUUGCAGCGAGCCGGUGCAUCGGGAAGCUACGAUCGAGCGUCGAGGUACAAGGACUUGUCUUACGACGGACCAUGGAAACGUGACGGUCUGAGCCAGUCGUUGGAGCAUUCGAGGUCGACCCAGUGGAGUGCAGGGUGUGCAACAUUGUAGAAUUCAUUGCCUAGGUCGAUGCUGGUCGGGCUCGCACAGUACCCGCUGCCGCUGAGCCCUCUGUUGUUGGGGUCGGUUGAGCAAUGGACGUGAGUGCGGGGUGAUUAACGAGCGUGUCGAUGUCUGAUUUUGCAGAAUCUAUAAUGUGAGUAUAGGCGACAUUGCAAUAAGCGGCGUAGUCUCGAAGGCUGCACUCACGGAUGCAUCAGAGGUACGCAACUUGGUCGCCUGCGAGAGUCUUGCAGAAGUCAAAGAUGGAGCUGAUAUUGACUCCGUCAACUAUGAUCCUGAUGGAAGGAGAGCCAGUGGUGUAGCAGGUGGAGAGCGGGCAAAGACAUAGGGGAGAGCAACCUGAAGGACUCUUUGGAGCUGGACUAGGUGAACUACUUAUCUCUGGGGGAUUGCUUUGAGUAAGUAGUGUUCUGUACGCAUUUAGACUCCAUACACAGUUGUUUGAUGAGAAACAAUAUGCAAGUGAGAACUAUAAACAGGGUCUGGAGACCCUAAUUAGGGUUUUCAAACCCUAAAUUAUAGAAAACGAAACACAUUUUUUUGAAAAACAAAAACGUUUGUAGAGGUCUUUGGGUGAUUCUAAGCCUUGGCAAAAUCUUAAAACAUAAAAAGCUGUGAUAUAUUGAGAGAUAUUGAGGAUGGAAAACCUCUAGGACACCCAUGUAACCCUAAACCCUAAAACCUAAACCCUAAACCUGGUCCCAGAAAUAUGACAGUACACAUCUCCCGCGAUCGUUGUGAAAUGGGCAGAGUCGCCCGAGAAAUGCUCUACCAGUUCCAACGCUGUUUUCACGAUACUCCUCCGAGACCUGUAGGAGGCUUUCGAUGAGGCCCCCAAACCAGUCCUUGCGAGCUUUCUGCUGGACUCCGACGAAGACAUGACUUAGGAUUAACGGGGCAAGCGCUGGAUUGCACUGCGAGAAUCACGAUAUGUCUGGAGAAACUUGGGUCAAACCUGUGUCGUCCUGAGCAUCGAGGUGCAGCUUUAUGGUCACCGUUGUCUGUACAAUCAUGUCAUUGUGGCUCUGACAGGCGGAGGCUGGUACAGCUUACCACAUUCACUAUCGUAGUCAGCACGUAACCUUUUUCCUCUUAAAAUUAUUUCCUUGAAAUUUGUACAGCGAGGCAAGACAUGCUGAGUGUUGCUCCAAUAUGCCCCCUACUGUGUCAUUCAUUUUUUUUUUUUUUUUUAAAUAUAAAUAAUGAUAGAUAUAAAUCUUUGUGAAGUACAGAAGACCGCAGUGGUCUCUAAAUCGUAGGGAAACAUGUAAAAAUAGUCUAGCCGACGAGGAUGACUCGUGCAUUGUGAGAGGGUGUCCAUUCUGCUUUCCAACUCGUCUGCAGAGCCGUGAUGCCCGCUGUUCUGACAGUCGGCUCGGGUGGCACUAAAUUUCGACCGCUUCGGUUCUCAAAUCUGGGUGCAAUAAGUUCAGCACCUAAUAUAUCUUAUUGUCGAUAAUAUAUCAUAAUAACCAUUAUGGUGCAUGUCGGUAGCUUGGCAUAAUGGCUACUUUAGGGCGUAGGAAUCGAUUGCAGAGCGUUAGGUCUUACCUCGUCAGCAACUUGAUUUCGGGCCUUCGACAAGUUUAUACUGCCACUUGAUAUACCGCCUGCGAUUUCGGAGUAUGGUACUGUUUGAAUUGAAAGCCAUGACUUGCACUUGAAGUCGUUGCGUAAUGCAUUUGCUGUUUUUGAUUCCAGACUUGGGGAGGGAUCGCUUUAAAUGAUUUCAUUUGCCAUUUUUGUUUGGUGAGGUUGUGAAGCUGCGUAUCCUGUUCGGAUUUUCUGCUGGCUUAGCGACCUGAUAGGGAAAUCUAUGCCUCGAGAGUUGGAAGUUACAUAUUGCAAGUGUGUGAAAUCGAAGCUCACAUACCGUAUGGUAAGUGAGCAGUUUGUCUGUACAUGUUUGCACUCGUAAGAUGUUCAAGUGACAACAGGCUUAGGUUGACAGCAGCCAGAUAGCAGCACUUCAGUGUGACACGGUUCCUGAUACACAGUCCAUUAUCAGAUGCCAGCUGAUUUAUCAAGAGGCACCAUCGGAAGAGAAUUCACUGCAAUCUGGUCAUCACAUUUCUCCUACUCAUUUUCACCAAAGCCUGGCUUUGACAGCAGAUUUUUCAUCAAACGACUGUUGAAUCAAAGCUCUCUAACUAAUCCUAGAACCAAUCAAUGGAAUCAGAGAUCACCGAACACCCACCUUGCAAGUAGUUGGCCAAAUGUGAUCGCCCAUUACACGAGCCCCGAUCAAGCUAACCUCAACGACUGAACUUAAUGCGGAACCGGCUCACAUGCGGCAUCGAGAAGGGUGAUGGAACAGCAUCCACUCCCAAGCAAUGGAGCCGGGGCCUGAUCAACACCCUCCUGUACGUCUCAGGGGGGGUCGGUAACACGUGGUUGGUACUGGCUUAGCAGCACUCAGACGACAAUGUUGAUUUCACAACAUUGCGGGUAUCAGUGUUCGAUCACGUUUCCACGCAGCCCGGUUUUUUGAUCCGGAGUUUUUGAUUUUGUCUUCUAAUUUUGAUUUAUCUCAAUUUUGGAGGUCUAUAAUUGCAAUGGUAUAAUUAACUUGUUUUACAAGUUCAUAGUUUACCAGAUAUAAUAACUUCGAGUUGGGAUUUAGCAUCUUGACUUUUGGCAUACAAAAGUGUUUGAGAAUGUUUGAGAGUUUUUAAAACACCAUUGACAACAAAUGUUUAAGGGUUUUUAAAACACCAUUGACAACACCCAAAGCCACCUCACAUUCUAUUACAAGCAUUGUGUGGCUUUUGGUGUUACAUGCCAUUGGUUUGUGGUGAAAUCCGUUGUUUUGCGCUCAACAAAGAAGUCUACAAGUUGGUUCUGGGGCAUGCGGUGGCUGCAGCACAAUCAACCACGGAGCGAGUUUACAGAUAACUCCGACAUGUAACACUUUUAAACGUCCUCCAUAAAACGCAUGUCCAACGAGCAUACCUCAGAGGAGGAUCUACAGACCAAGGCAGAAACAGACUCGUUAUUUAACAGCACCUGUCAGUCUGUACAGAAGGUGAACUAGGACCGUGUUUCUUCUUGCCCGUCGAUGGGACAAGGGUUGAGUGUGCGAAGCACAUGGGUGCAGAGCCUAGCUGCCGGAUAAUAAAUGGACCACUGCGAAAUGUCUCUGGAACGUCUCAAGAGCGUAUUGCACUAUAUUCUCUGCAUAUACUCUGUAGUGUUAUAACAUCUGCGUAUCCUUCUAUCAUAUAGAUGUCCUUUAUUAGAUGAGGACAUCCAAAUAGCAAGCUAUCAUAGUCACUACUUAGUACAGCAUCUACUUCUCGGCUUUGGCACAUAUGAUUACAUGUAACGUCUGCUUCAUAUUCUCCUACUGCACAUACAUCAAGAGAUGUAGGAGCUUCUGAUAUACUCACACGCCGUCUUCAAGGUUGCCUUAAUAGACUUUCGGUUCAGAUCACCUUCCAGGUUGUCAUGCAUCUGCUUCAACCUGUUGUACUCAGGUGACUCAGGGCCUACACACGCCGUGCACUCGUUCAGCAGCCGACGCGUUGCGGCAAAUGCGUAGUCCCAGCAAUUGUUGUCUUUCAAGUUGUAAUGAGCAUCGGUAGCUCCCUUUAAAAUCUCUUCGAUCUUGGAUAAUCCGAUCUUCGUCCGGCACUGCAUAGCGUAGAGGCGGACGCCUUCGUGAAGACGGUAGUCAACUUCUGACUUGUCGACCAGCGCUUCUAUGUGGAUGCCAACUUCUUGUGCACGCCCUGUUAGUUUCUCCGCAAGAAUAUGUAGCUUUGCGGCACCGCCACUCUCCAGCUCCAGGACCAGGUAGUCGUGGUUAAUCAAACCCCGCAUCUGCGCAAAACACACACACACACACAUACAUGUGCAUCUGGUCCAACAAAAUUUCUGAUGACGACCAUCAGUGGUUUCUUUCUCAGGCUGAAUUUCACAAAAUUUCUGUUCAAAAAGAAAAUGAGGCCGCCGCAUAAACGAAGAAAAUUCAAUGGCGAAUACUCAACUGAAAUCAUCACCCUGAAAAUCCACUCUCAGGCUGGGGGCACGUAGCCAGCAAUUGGACUGACAGGGCUGCGGAUACCAUGUAGGUAUAACAAUGGUAUUGCAACGGCAUCCCAUUGGUAUCCCCAGGGGUAUCGCAGGGUGUCUCCAGAUAUCGGAUGCUCUAAACUACAUUCGGUGUGUCUGGUAGCUAACCUACAACCUUCCAACCGUAGGGGGGUGCCAGGCCUGUUUCUGAAAGAGAUAAAUCACUGAUGUGCAUGAUGGUUUCAACGACGGUACCGAAUCUAUGUUGAAACUAACUUGCCGGUCCAACCGUGGUCUAAACUGCUAUGGUCACGGAACUCACCU